This 281-nucleotide long non-coding RNA is filed under the name Elaeis guineensis (African oil palm). RNAcentral describes it as "long non-coding RNA (EGUI_LNC081160)". The record is from RNAcentral. Lineage: Eukaryota; Viridiplantae; Streptophyta; Magnoliopsida; Arecales; Arecaceae.
UUUAAUUAGACUUAAUCUCAACCCAUUGGCUUAAUCAAAUUAAGCUAAUUAGCAAUCAAAUUGCUAAUCGAUCCUCCUGCAAUACUUGCACUGGGUUAAAUGUCAAUCGUAUUGAUCAUUUAACCCUAGAACGAUUCUUAAUCAUUGAUCAACCAUCCGAUCAGAUCAUAAACUCUAAUGUGUGUGACCUCAUAGAUCCAAACCUAAGCUGGUAGCACAGAAAUAAAUUUUUAUACCAAUCGAAGUGACCAUCUAGCAAUGGUACCCGACGAUCGGAUAGG